GGGAUACUGCCAUUGGAUCCGACUGAUAGUUGCAAAACAAAUUCCUAAUUCUUAGUGAGCUUCCUUGACUUGUUUACAAAUUAAUAAGGGCCUGUUCACUUGUAGAAAACUAGGGUAGUUUUUUGGAACAGUUUUCUAAGAAAACUAGAAAAAUAGAGUUUUGUGCACACAUGUGCCAAUUUUUCAAAUGCUAAUUUUCCAAUUUUCCAAAAUUUAC
Molecule: unclassified non-coding RNA, 217 nt
Filed under: Hevea brasiliensis (rubber tree)
Lineage: Eukaryota; Viridiplantae; Streptophyta; Magnoliopsida; Malpighiales; Euphorbiaceae
Source: RNAcentral